This 443-nucleotide ribosomal RNA is filed under the name uncultured bacterium. RNAcentral's name for it is "partial 16S ribosomal RNA". It matches the Rfam family "Bacterial small subunit ribosomal RNA", at positions 28 to 507 of the family's 1533-position model. The record is from RNAcentral.
GAUGAACGCUGGCGGCAUGCCUAACACAUGCAAGUCGAUCGGUAAGGCUCUUCGGAGUACACGAGAGGCGGACGGCUGAGUAACGCGUAGGAACACACCCUGCAGUGAGGGAUAAGACACCGAAAGGUGUUCUAAUACCGCAUACGGUCUUCGGAUUAAAGCAUUUAUGCGCUGAAGGAGUGGCCUGCGUCAUAUUAGAUAGUUGGUGAGGUAAUGGCUCACCAAGUCGAUGAUGUGUAGCUGGUCUGAGAGGAUGAUCAGCCAGACUGGAACUGAGACACGGUCCAGACUCCUACGGGAGGCAGCAGUGAGGAAUAUUUCACAAUGAGCGAAAGCUUGAUGGAGCAAUGCCGCGUGCAGGAUGAAGGCCCUCGGGUUGUAAACUGCUUUUAUAAGGGAAGAUUAUGACGGUAACUUAUGAAUAAGGGACGGCUAACUACGUG